Molecule: non-coding RNA, 47 nt
Filed under: Trichobilharzia regenti
Lineage: Eukaryota; Metazoa; Platyhelminthes; Trematoda; Strigeidida; Schistosomatidae
Source: RNAcentral
AUCCAGAUGAUGAGUCCCGCAUAGGACGAAAUCCGAACAUCCUGGAU